AAAAUACGUAGCUCAUAGGGUCUACAGGUUCUGAACUUAUCCUUAGGCCUCGUUCGAUCCCCACAGAACUCCCGAGCCGCCGACCCACAUGAGCCAUUUCUUCCGAUUUGCCGCCGGUGAAGAAAGGUGGGCGGGUGAGUCCAUGAGUCCGUAAGGUGUGAAUCCACGCCAACCUCGUUGAGUCUAGCGGAGCGGCAGGGAGGGCCAUUGCGAGCGCGGCGCGCUGCUGAACCGGCGGCUAGUGGCUGUGGUGGAGAUGCUGGAGGUUGGUGGCACCGAGGAGGCGGUGAGGGAGCACCGGUUCACGGAUUUUCUGGACGAAAUCAUGCGAUUCGGUCUAAGUUUGUUGGUGGCAAGGCAACAAUGUCAGCGCAACAAAUGUCCCAAAAAGAAUGGUUGUUCGGAUGGAGGAUGCUGAAGAAUGGCUGGAUGGACAGAGGAUGGCCUGCUGCGUUGGUCCAUGGGAGGUAUGGGGGUAACAGAGGCAAGAUGCAUAUAAGGAGACCGUUGGAUAAUCAAAUAGCAGCAAGAUGUUAGUGGCUUCUGGGGACGGCAUGGCUCCUACAAAAUGUGAAGUACCAGCUAAUGGCUUCAAUUGCUAGCUUCAAGGAGACGGCUGUAGGGUUACCUCAUCAUCGUCGUCAUCUCUGCCGCCACCGCUGCUUCUUCGACGUCUACGUCUCAAGGUGGGAAUGGGCCGGGUCGACCCACCGGGUCUUUGGCCCGACCCAAAAAAACAAGGCCAAUGGGUCAGUCGGGUCGGCCUCAUACAAAAAUCGGGCCAGUAGAGCCGGCACGGAGUGCCCAUCGGGUCAGCGGGGCCGACCCACCUCCGAGAGUACUGGAGUCAAUCGGUAUCGCCAAAUCCAUCUUACUAGCUUAGCUUAUCUAUAUCUAUAUCUAUACCUCUAUAUCUAUAUCUAUACCUCUAUAUCUAUACCUCUAUAUCUAUAUCUAUAUCUAUAUCUAUAUCUAUACCUCUAUAUCUAUAUCUAUACUUCUAUAUCUAUAUCUAUAUCUAUAUCUAUACCUUUAUAUCUAUAUCUAUACCUACUAAUAAAGCAGAUAUUGCUUCUGCCCGUACGUCACAAAAAUCGCCCCCCGAAGUUGCUAGAAAUUACCCGCGAUGCCACCCGUAAGUGAAGAAAACGAUUCGAUUUUUCUUUUCAAAGUCGCCGUCGUUUCCAGAGUUUGUAUACAGUUAAUAUCCAACAAAUAUCAGUGACGCAGUAGCAGUGCGGUGGCUCGAUGCAUUGUCUUCUGCCCUGUAGACCAGGGUUCGAACCCCAGCUUCUACCAAUAUUUUCCUCCACUUUUUUCUCAUGACUUAUUCCCACCUACUUUAGGACUACAUGGGCCAGCCAGCGGACUUAAUGCCCUGUUUUUUUUUCUUUUUUCUGGUCUUCUCUUUUCUCACUUCUGUUUUUGUUUUCUCCUUCUUUAAAUCAAUUUGAGAUUUUCAAGUAUUAAAAAGUUGCGAGUUUGAAAAAGCUGUUUGAGAAAUUAUAAAAUGUGUGUGAAUUCAAAAAAGUUCAGGAAAUCAUAAAAUUUUCGUGGUUUCAAAAAAUGUUACUGAUUUUACAAAAAUAUUUGCAAAUUAUAAAAAUAAUUUGGAAAGAAAUGUCGUUAAAUAAAAUCAAGUUCAUGAUCUUGAUAAAAUGAUCGUGUAUUCAAAACAUAUUUGUGAAUCUGAGUCAUCAUGAAAUCAAAAACUAUUCAUGCAUUUCAAUAAAUGUUCGUCUAAAAAACAAAUGUUUGUGAAUUUAAAAAAAUGUCUAAAUUUAAAAAGAAUGUUUGUCGAUUCAAAAAACUCUUCCUAUUCAGAUGUAUUUUAUAUCUAGGAUUUGAUUAAUUUUGGAAAUUCUUUAUAUGUCUUGGGGUUGGCGAGUAGUCCAUGGUCGAUGAGAUUUGUUUUCAAAGUUCAAAACAUUCCCUUGCGCGAGACAAUGACAAGUGUGUCGUACAGUGACAAGCCCAUUUUUUACCACGUUGAAUGCAUUGCGAUCACGUGGAUAUUGCAUCCACAUCAACGAGAGUGAGAAGAAAGAUAAUUGGCAACAUGGUGAGCCAUCGUGUUAAAAUAGAGGACAUUCAUAUGUCGGAUAUUGACCAACGUGUAAUUUUUUCUUCCGUUGCAACGCACGGGCAUAUUUGCUAGUACAACUAACAUCAGCUAAUUAUAGUGUACUAAUUAGCCGAAACAUUAACUAGCUAACAUUUGUACACGUACUGGAAUCCAUUAACUCAAUCCUCCUUUAUAAACUGGACGUGGAAAGAGCUGAAACUGUAUAUUGUGGUUCAUUUGUAAACUUUUAUUAUUUCAAUCAUGCAUGUUUAGAUCAUAAUUUUGUUUUACUUGUAAUAACAUAUUUUUGAGAAUAUCCUAUGUACCACAACCAAAUAUUGUAUAAGAAAAUAAAAUUUGGGUCGACCCAAAGUACCCAUUGGGCCGGCGAGGCCAUUGACUUUUUUGAAUUGGGUCGACCCGUGGCCUCUCAAAUUGGCCUCAAGGCCAACAGGGCCGGGUCCAAGGCCAGGUCCGGGCCGACUCAUUCCCACCCUGAUCUACGUCCAUGUCGGCCAGGCUUCAAGUGCUAGCUUCAAGGAGACGGCUGUAGGGUUACCUCAUCAUCGUCGUCAUCUCUGUUCGCCGCCGCUGCUUCUUCGAUGCCUCCAUGUCGGCCAUGGGAUGGCUGCUUGGUACUCUUACCUUUGCUACCAUCCGCUGAUUUCAGGACGCGAAGACUUCGUCCCUGAUCGAUCGUAUUCCUAGGGUUUGAAGGCAAGCCUCUAUUCAAUUGAGAUGACUGGUUUGUGUGCUCAGAGCCAAAUUUCCUUCACGGUCUGUGUUGAUGUUUGAGUUCAUGAGCACGUUAUGGUUCCUCCACGUACAUGUGUAAUCUAACCGAGAGAUUAUUAGAAGUUAAAAAGUAUUUCCUUCUAUGACA
Long non-coding RNA from Triticum dicoccoides, 2948 nucleotides. RefSeq lists it as uncharacterized. The record is from RefSeq and is a predicted model, not a curated record. Lineage: Eukaryota; Viridiplantae; Streptophyta; Magnoliopsida; Poales; Poaceae. The transcript has 3 exons.